CGGCGCUAACACAGAAUUAAGAAAAAAAGAAAAGAAAAAUGUAUGCUUCAUCAAAGGGUUAUGCUACAAAAGCAAGAAGAAAACAGAAAAUCCCUACUCUACGCUGCUGUUCUUACACGAAAGUGCAGCCAUGCAGGAUGGUGCCUGCGACUGCCCUGCUGGACGACAAGUUUGCAACCACCAAGCAGCCGUGCUAAGGACUGUCCUCCUACGUCAACAGUGCGGAUUCAAAGAGGUCCCUCCAGAACUGUCAUGCACCGACCUUCCACAGCAAUGGAGGACACCUUGUGGCAGCAGGAUUCUGGGGACAUUGGUGCAGUCUGUAGACUGGCGCAGUGCCCGAGAAGGAGGACUGGAUGAACCCAUAUUGAAUGAAUUUACGAUUCACGGAAAAAGCCGAGAACGUGCCUUGAACAGGAGCUAGCGGCUAAGAGGCUGGGCAACACCCUUCAAGAAAUCAACAGCAGUAACCCAUUCCUUCAUACGCUACUACAUCUUGGACCACAGGAACCUAAAAGCACAUGACUUGGCACGGCUUUUGCAAGCUCUCCACUUUCGUACCAUCAGGCCCUGCUACCCUUCGGAUUUGCUUCCUGUGUCUCGGAGAAUUUUUUUAAGCCUUCCUAAACCAGCUUUCCACUGCAAGAGUUUUCCUUCUUCUCUGGCUUGUCACCCUGCACCAUAUCUGGUGCAUUUCCAGAAAACCAACUGGAAGUUUUGAAGUGGCUGUGUGUCACCAGCUCUGCUGCUCGUGAAAUUGAGAGGAACACACGACAGCAGAGGAACAGUUCGACCUGGCUGAAGGAGAGGACUGCACGGGUGACAGCCUCCAACUUUGGUGCUGUCAUAAAGCGUGCCACUUGGACAAAGAAGGGUGUGGACAGUGUGGUAAAAAGCAGGGACCUAUCAAGGGUGAAAGCUAUAAAGUAUGUAUAUGUAUAUGGAUUUAAGUAUGGUUCCUGGAGGCUACUUGCAUUGAGCAACCCUACUCACAAUGGCUUAUGCUGCAGGUAUGGCAUUGACAAUAAAAACAUCGCCCGUGACAGAUAUAAAGCAGUUCUGCGCACCCUCGGACAUCGAGUUACGGUUAGUCUGUGCGGCCUGCUGGUUCUGCCCUCGUGUCCCUGGCUAGGAGCAUCUCCUGAGGGCAUUAUUUUUUACCCGAAGGAAGACCCUCCUCACGGAGUCCUGGAAAUUAAAUGCCCCUAUUCUCUGCGAAAUGCCAGCCUGGACGAACUCUCAGAGGAAAGCUUUUUCUCAGUAAGGGCGGUUGAGGAUACGGCAGUUGAGUGCGAGGAUGGUGAAAAUGUGCAGCUUUCAAGCAGAACCAGGAAGCCAGUGCUCAACAGGGAAUAUGAGUACUACCAUCAGGUGCUUGGACAAAUGGCGUUAUCAGGGUUACAAUGGGCCAACUUUGUUGUUUACUCUAGGGAUUUUAUACUUAUCUAGAGAAUACCUUCUUCAAAGUGUGAUUGGGAACGUGUGGAGCGCAAGCUCACAUAAUUCUAUUUUGAAACACUGCUGCCUAGAUUUUCCACCAAUCAAACACAGAAUAAUAAAUAAUAAGUUUUAUUGUUUCUUCGUAUUUAUCUGUUGUAUGCUUGAGCACUGAUUAAAAUACUUUUUGCACUCG
This is a long non-coding RNA of Ornithodoros turicata, 1633 nucleotides long. RefSeq lists it as uncharacterized. Lineage: Eukaryota; Metazoa; Arthropoda; Arachnida; Ixodida; Argasidae. The transcript has 2 exons. The record is from RefSeq and is a predicted model, not a curated record.